CCUACGGGAGGCUGCAGUGAGGAAUAUUGGUCAAUGGGCGUAAGCCUGAACCAGCCAAGUCGCGUGAGGGAUGAAGGUUCUAUGGAUCGUAAACUUCUUUUAUAAGGGAAUAAAGUGCGGGACGUGUCCCGUUUUGUAUGUACCUUAUGAAUAAGGAUCGGCUAACUCCGUGCCAGCAGCCGAGGUAAUACGGAGGAUCCGCGCGUUAUCCGGAUUUAUUGGAUUUAAAGGGUGCGUAGGCGGGCUUUUAAGUCAGCGGGGAAAGUCUGUGGCUCAACCAUAGAAUUGCAGUUGAAACUGGGAGGCAUGAGUAUUGUUGAGGCAGGCGGAAGUCGUGGUGUAGCGGUGAAAUGCGUAGAUAUCACGAAGAACCCGGAUUGCGAAGGCAGCUUGCCAAGCCGUGACUGACGCUGAUGCACGAAAGCGUGGGGAUCAAACAGGAUUAGAUACCCGAGUAGUC
Molecule: ribosomal RNA, 460 nt
Filed under: uncultured bacterium
Lineage: Bacteria
Description: partial 16S ribosomal RNA
Rfam family: Bacterial small subunit ribosomal RNA
Source: RNAcentral